AUAGACCGUCUUCAUUUGCUCCAGUUUGCUCUCCAAAGAAUCUCUGAACAUCCUUAACUUGCUGGGAGAAUUUUCAAGCUUUACCUGCAGUAAUUGGGCACAGCUGGAAGAGGUAAUGCCCAAAAUUAACUGAUGCAACUGGCGCUGGCACUGAAUCUAUGUAAGUGCAGGUCUACACUAUAUGGAAGCCAGCAAAGCACAGACUUAUGUUGUCUGUAAGGAACAGUUGUAACUUUGGUGAACAUUACUAACAAUUCAGCAAAAUGGUGGGAGACAUAAUUUUUUUUGAGGACGUGUUCUGUUUGCUGAUAGCAGUGGGGAAGAAGAGGAGGAGAUCUUGGACUGAAACAGAGAAAAACACCCGUAACAGGUGGAUGCCAGAAGAACUCCCAGCUGCAGAGGUUGUUGCUGGCAUUUGGGCAGACCCACAAAGCUGCAAACAGUCGGUGUGCGCCUUAAAUUCAGUGACUCCUUUGAAGUGAAACCCCAGCAAGCUCCAUGGUGAUUUGUAGAGGAUGCCUGGGUCUGUCUUCUCCUUUUGGUGAUCCUGAGCCAGUCUUUGUGUCCGGACCAUGGGAACACAUCAUGAACAAGCCCUCAAGAUCUUACAGGUCAUGACAUACUCUGUAAAGCCAUUGUACACUCAAAGAAAAAAAGUGCCAUAAAAAACCAAAGCCUUAUUAUUGCUUACAGGUGGGUCAUGUCCUUUAAUUUUGCUCUGUGGAUCAUCUUGCUGAGCAUGAAAAUGAUGAAGUCUCCUCUUUCUGUUGUGAGAAGUCAUGAUGAAGAUCUAGAAUCAUAGAAUCAUUUAUGUUAGAACAUGUAGUUCAUUAUUAGCUUCAGAAAAACGACUUAAUUAGUUCCUUGUCAGAGCAGUGUUUCUCAAUGAUGUUGCAUCGCUUGCUUUCUGUCAGACACUGUUGUCUUGGCCAGGAGGUCCAAGAGUCUUGCCUUGCUCUAAGAAGAGGCAACAGAGCUUAAGAUGCUUUAUUGAAAUACUGCCACUGUUACGAAUAAUUUGACUGGAGGUUUCUCCAUGACUUCUGCCACAUCUCUUUUCAAAUUUUAACUGAAUACAUGUAUUUGUUUUUCUCAUGCAUCCUGGAUUCAAGUUUUAAAGCCGACCUUACUUAAUUUGACCUUAUCUAGCUAAUUUAUCAUGGGCCCGCGUUCCUAAACAAUGCUAAAUGGAGUACAUUUCCUUCUGUCUUCCCAAGUAACUCGCUCUCCUGCAAAACUCAAACCAUUAAAAGUGAGGAUGAUAGCAGAAGCUCCAAGAUAUAAGUGAACUUAAUAUAAAUAUUCAUAAUCAUGUCAACUUCACUUUUGAAACAAUUUCUGAAAUGUUAGUUUGCCAUAACAGCUGGUCACAAAGCACAAAGGUUAGGUUAAGCUUCCUUCGUUAAUGGUUUGGCUCAAUGCACCCAGCAGUAUAAUGUAUUUUAUCAGUGAGGGAAAUGAUAUUGGUUUAAGAGGUUUCAUGUAACAGUCAUAUCCUGGCCAAAUGUAAUUUU
RNAcentral lists this long non-coding RNA (1514 nucleotides) under Numida meleagris (helmeted guineafowl). RNAcentral's name for it is "lncRNA (ENSNMEG00000018138.1)". Lineage: Eukaryota; Metazoa; Chordata; Aves; Galliformes; Numididae. The record is from RNAcentral.